AUCUCUUCAAAGACAUUUAAUAAAAUUGGAAUGAUACAAAGAAGAUUAGCAUUGUUCCACACAAGGAUGACAUGCACAAAUCAAGAAAUGCUAUCAGAGCAU
Small nuclear RNA from Magnolia sinica, 102 nucleotides. Lineage: Eukaryota; Viridiplantae; Streptophyta; Magnoliopsida; Magnoliales; Magnoliaceae. The record is from RefSeq and is a predicted model, not a curated record.